Non-coding RNA from Pseudoxanthomonas indica, 354 nucleotides. The record is from Rfam. Lineage: Bacteria; Pseudomonadati; Pseudomonadota; Gammaproteobacteria; Lysobacterales; Lysobacteraceae.
GGGGGUGCACUGGCUUCGACGGGGGUUGCGAAAUUACCUGGUGCAUGCCGAGGGGGCAGCUUUCCUCGUUAAUCCAGCGGCAAAACUCUAGUUGCCAACGACGACAACUACGCUCUCGCCGCUUAAGGCGUAAGCCCCGAAACUACUUGUGUCCGUGUUCGUAGCGUAGGGUCAUUAUCACGGAAUCGCCGGGAGUGGUUGCCUGUCAGCGCCCGGUCAACCUGAAACAGGCUGGUCCCAAGGUGCGCUUUGCUCGCCGUGCUGCCUGGGGACGAGAUCCAACGGUGGGAUAAGCAUGUAGUACCGGGGAUGGAGUGCCUUCGGACGGGGGUUCAAUUCCCCCCACCUCCACCA